UACAGAGGGUGCGAGCGUUAAUCGGAAUUACUGGGCGUAAAGGGCGCGUAGGUGGUGAGAUGAGUGUGAUGUGAAAGCCCCGGGCUUAACCUGGGAAGUGCAUCGCAAACGAUCUUGCUGGAGUACAGGAGAGGGUAGCGGAAUUUCCGGUGUAGCGGUGAAAUGCGUAGAUAUCGGGAGGAACACCUGUGGCGAAAGCGGCUCACUGGACCACAACUGACGCUGAGGCGCGAAAGCUAGGGGAGCAAACAGG
This 253-nucleotide ribosomal RNA is filed under the name uncultured bacterium. RNAcentral's name for it is "partial 16S ribosomal RNA". It matches the Rfam family "Bacterial small subunit ribosomal RNA", at positions 524 to 776 of the family's 1533-position model. The record is from RNAcentral.